Camellia sinensis is the source of this 1381-nucleotide long non-coding RNA. RefSeq lists it as uncharacterized. The record is from RefSeq and is a predicted model, not a curated record. Lineage: Eukaryota; Viridiplantae; Streptophyta; Magnoliopsida; Ericales; Theaceae.
UCUAAGUAAGAAACGUGUAGACUUGAACAUACUUUAAUCAUAAUAUCAUACUCUCUUAUGUAUCUAACAUGAAUCUUCGCCAAAAUGUAAUUUGGAACAUUUUAUUAUCAUUCUUUGUGCUGAUUACCACUUCCCUUUUGUGGAAUCCUUCUUGAGCUUAAUGUCAAAUUGUUUUACAUUGUCAGUGGUAAGAUACAUAUACAAGAGUUAGAACACAAGAUGAUGCUGGACUUGUUCUCAGCUAUGCUACGUGGACUCUAGUAAGCAUGUUGGGUACAAAUAUGUGUCUAAGGGUCAGAUUCAUCUAAUUCUCAUGUCAAAGACACCGGGGCACAACAAUAUUUUAUGUUUUUGAUUUAUUUAUUUUUAAUGUUUUAAUGGUAAAAUGAUGUUUGAAAACUAAAAUAUAUGAUUUUAUGUAUAAAACAGAAAUCUUAUGCAUAUUUAUAUAAUAAACUCGACCACUUAUAUGUACUUGUUGUGCAUCUUCAACUAUGCAUAUCGGACACAUUCAACAUGGGUACUUCACAAAUUUAGAAGAGUCCAUGGAACAUAGGUACUCAAGAUUUUUAAUCUUAUCAAGGCUAUCUAUGAUUUGCUUGAAAAAUCCUUGGGUUAUUUGGAACUUGGGGAGGAUCUGGAGCAACAAAUAGUUGUUGAACUUAUAUGCAUCAAGGAAAUGGCUAAUACCGAGAUUCAGUUUGAAAAUUGCAAUGAAGGAAAGUCAGUUACAAUGGACGGGAAUGCACACAAACCUCUGAAACUUGAUCAUGGCUUUCGAACUUGAUGGAGAAGCAGAUCUUGGAGCUCACUACCAAGCAAGGGACAACAACAGAAGACUGGACCAUGGGCACCCAUUUCAAGAGGUGAUUACUAAAUAUGGGUUGUGGAAGAUUUACAUUAUGAAAUUAUCCUUGCAUUGAGCUAUCCUUUGGUAGAUCAUCUUCCAUCUUCUAACAAAAUCAAGAAUUUGGGUUCUAGAUCAUUUUCCAAGGGACACUGAGAAGUAGAGGAAUGUAGUGAUAUUGUUUGUGUUUGAUAGCUUGAUAUAUAUAUAUAUAUAUUGUUAGGCCAAUUUCCUACUAGUUAAUUUUUUGGGUCAAUUGAUGACUUAAUAUGAUAUCAGAGGGAGGUUUUAGAUACAAGUCUCACCAGUUGCAUUGGUUGCUGCAUACAUUAUUUCUUCUCUCUAUGUAUGAAUGCUGGAUAGCUUGAUAUACAUUGCUCCAUCAAUUUCCUAGCAGUUUAAGAUACGUUUUUUGUGUAGCUUCUUCAUUUUUGGUCGUUGGUUUACAAACUUCGUUUGGAAAUUCAAUACCGAACAAUUUACAUUUAUUUUUCUAAACAAAUUUCACUCAUUUGGCAUUGUGUUUCCAAUUAU